GGAAGGUGCCCCAUGGGUGAGGAGAGGGUUCCAGAUGCUGGGAAGGACAUGCUGUCCUGGGAGCAGCCGGGGGACAAGGGGGUGUGUGGGGCAGGUGGGGGCCAGUCUCAUGAUGCAGGGCGGGAGGCUGGGAUCCUGGGAGGGAAGGCUGCUUUUCCUCUGGGCACUCCUGCUGUUGCCCAGCAGAGCAGACAGAGAAAGAAGGUGCAGGAGUGUCGAGGGGUCUCUCAGCCUGCACCCAGUGCUGACCACGGACCCCCAAAAGCGGGCGUAAAGGAAGAGGGACUCUGGAUACCCCUGACAAACACGCCACGCGUCCAGCCAUCAGGCAGGCUUUGAAAGAUGCCAGGAAGGUCACCAGGGUCCAGCUCUGGCCGGCAGCUCCUCCCCGACUGGUCCCUGACUUCGUUUCCUUCGGGUCAACCCCUGCCUUCCCUUGGAAUAUCAAUUUCUCCAACGCCUCCGUCCUGACUGGCUGGUAGAGAGACCUCUGAGCUCUUGAUGUCAAUCUCUCCCCAUCCAGCCAGAGGUCCAGGCUGGGGAAGGGGCUGGUUUGCCUCCCUUCCCCACCCCCGUGCUCCUCCAGGCUCACCCCAGGGCUCUCCAGAAAACUUGCCCCAGGCCCCGGCCCAGCCUGCCUGCAUCUCCCUCCCCAGAUAGCCCUGGUCUCGGGUCACGAGGCUCAGUGACCUCUGUGUGUCUGCAUGCCACUGGCUCUGCGUGGCCUGGGGCCCCUCCCUGGAGGACCUCAGACAGAUGGGCGCUCAUGUACCCCUCCCUCCAGAAGGUGUCCCUUUGACCAAGACUGUCGUUCAGCUUUCCCUUCCUGCAGGCGUGGUGGGAGAUACGGCCCCCACCUCUGAACAGAUUCAGAGCGGCUUCCCACUGCUUCCCGGGGACCUCUGUGCUCUGGGUCCUGCCGCUUGGUCCCCAAAGGAAAGGGGAGAGGGGACAGAGCUAGAGGAUGCUGUGUGGGGGGCAGCCAGGGCGGGAAAGCCUGCGGAGGCGGGGAGGGAAGGUGGUGGUGGGGGGCGCUGGUGCACAGCGCUUCUGCCCCUGGAGUUCACGGCCGGCCGCGGCUCCCUCUGAAAUGGGAGGUUUCAAGGGUGAGCGCCUCCGUGUGUGUGUGCGCCCGCCCGCCCGAGCGCCCGCCUCCCGUGUGCGCGCCUGUCGCUGUCAUCGCGGAUGUUCCCCCGCUGUCACUCCGCUGCUCUCUGCUUGCACACACGCGCCCCUCCCCGCCUGCCCCUCUCCGCGGCUCCCUCUGUCCCUCCCUCUCCUCCUCCGUGUGCCAUUGACCCGGCAGCCCUGGCCCCAGGAGGAGGCAGCCGGCCGCAGGCUGCUCCCGCCGGUGCACUGCUGCCGGGUCCUGCUGGGGACCCAGGUCCUGCUGGGGAUCGGGCUGUGCCGCUGUCUGAUUCCUCCAGGAAUUCCAGGAGGGGCUGGCUGGACGGCUCAGACCACUGAUUCAAGGGGCUUGUUCCUGCCAAAGAGCGGCUGACACAGACUGGAACCCAGAGCCCACCCUGACCUGGGCGUUUCAGCCAGGUGGGCAUGGGGCCUGGGCUUGGGGAGAGGGCUCUCGCCACCUGUCUCCCCAUGGCAGCCGGAAAGACCCUUGGGUGGGUCUGAGUGUGGAAGCGCCCCCUAGGGGCCUCUCUCGACCUUGCUUCUAGGCCAGCGGUCCCUCCCCCGCCACCCCAUGCACCUGUCUGCUGGGGGC
This is a long non-coding RNA of Bos grunniens (domestic yak), 1723 nucleotides long. The record is from Ensembl. NCBI's taxonomy places the organism in Eukaryota, Metazoa, Chordata, Mammalia, Artiodactyla, Bovidae.